AGGUAACGUCAGAGAUCAUUAUGUGGAGAAGUGGGAGCUCAGGAUGAAAGAUCAAGACGGUGAGUCCAACUGGACCCGAUUCAAAGAGAAGCUGGGAAACAAGCCUGGGGAAAAGGACUGAGGACCACGACACCUGUGCCCAGUCUACCCCCAAAACUAACCCCUCCCACAAAAAAAGAAACCUUAAAUCUACCAUGUCUCUCAACACCUUCCACCUGAUGGAGACCCUCAAGAACUCCCCGUCCGUUUUACGCCGCCGCUUCCGCCGUGACCGCACCGAGUCCCUCUCCCACGGCGACCCGCUCUUCAAGGUCCACUACCUGGGCACUGAGAAAAUCUUCUCCCUGGAUCUACAGCAGGCCCAGGACGCCAUAGCCCGGCUGCUCGACGGGGCCUCCAACGGAAAGAAACUGAGCAAAGACCAUGCGUUGGUGGUUCGUCCACGCUACGUCGAAGUCAAAGAGCUCAGCACUGGACGCCAGCUCACUAAGACGUACCUCCAGGACAUCGCCUACUGCGCGGCCGACGCCACCAGACCCAACGUGUUUCUGUACAUCUGUAAGCAUCACGGGCAACAGCUGCACUGCCGGGUGUUUUGGUGUAGCCGGGCAGAGCGGGCACGGGACAUGACUGCCUGCCUGGCACACUCCUUCCAGAGGGCACUGAAUGACUGGCAGGGGGACGGGGACGUUGGGUUAGGGGGAAGUACCGACACGCUGACCCCAGAAAAGGACGGGGUGAAGGAGGGAGAGGAUAUGCCCAGCACCACUACUAACCCCAAAAACUCCAUACAACCAGACAGCUGUGGAAGAGUCCGUUGGAAGAAGAGGAGCUCCCUGUCUCGUAGUCCACUGAGAGCCAUGACCAGGAAGGGCUCUGCCUCUGACAUCUGGCACUGAGUCCCCGAUCCCCAGAAUGGGACACGGAACUGACGACAUCCCCAGUGGCUAGCUACAGCACGGAGGGAGGGAUUGAAUGAACCCGCCACUACUGGACACAACAGGAUUGAAAAAAAAAGGAGUGUGAGGGAGAUCACUGCUGGACUUUCUUUCAAAUGAGACAUUGCCUUGCUUACAUGUUGAGUCUACAGUACCGUUCAUGACCGGCAUGAAUGGUAGCCUACAAACUGUGGAAGUUAAUGACUAGCUACCUUGGCUUUUGUCUCUGGAUUACUAGAGAACAAGGUGCUUAGUUGAUAGCGUUGUACUGUACGCUGUUGGUAGAAACCAGUAUUCACCUCAGUGGCCUUGUGACUCGCUUUCACUGUUGGAACGCUUCAAGGCUGAACUGCUAAUUUCCAAUGCUACUCCAAGUUACUUGUUUUCCACUGAGUGGCCUUGAUACUCUGAACUGUCAGUUAUGCUUAGAAGAAAGGAGCUCAAGGUCCUGUGUGCCUUUUUUAGCUAGACAAGGACAUGACUACAGAGUUCACCAAACCUCAAUUUCCUCUCCAUACAAUGCUGAACACAGCCUGGACUGUUUGAAACUGGUCACAGUCAUGGCGAUGUCUGUUUAAAAAAAAAAAACAUUUAACAUUUGUUUGUAUUUAUUUUAAUGAGAAGUCUUGUUUGUAACACACGGUUCAUGCACCUCUUCUCUUCCUGAAACACUAGAUUGUUUUUUUAGAAGGGAGGAGGAGCUUAAGUUUGAGCCGAAUGUGAGCUCAGUGUUCGUCUUGGGAGAGGGGUUAAAAACGGAGGUGUGUGAGAGUGUUCAUGGGGCAUAAAGGGUUCAUUUUAAUUUAAGCAGACCAUAGAAGAACUGGGCUAUGUUGUCAUAAUUACACAGUAAUGUGUGUUCAUAGGCAGGGUUUUAAUACAUUUUAGUAUCAAUUCAUUCGGUUCAGACUUCACCACGUGUAAUUUAGUCCAGUUGUUCCCAACCUUUUUCGGUCACUGUACCACCAACUGAAUUUCUCUGCCUGGAGUACCCCUGAAGUACCCCCUCAUGUGCAUUUUGCCAGUAGGUCUAUGGUCUCAUGAGUCUUAUCAAGUACCCCCUGUGGCUAGACCACAUACCCCCAGGUGUCCUAGUACUCUUGUUGGGAACCACUAGCCUAGUCAAUGCACACUGACUGUUCACAUUAUUUAUUUUUUGUCAUAACAUAUUACUAUUCAAGUAAAAUGUAAUCCUUAAUUAAGUUCCAUAAGCUUAAUUUGUUCCUAUAAGGUGUUAGUGUUUGCUAGAACUGUGAGUUUGUUUUUUUCUUCAUACUGUGUCACACAGGAGGUUGGUGGCACCUUAAUUGGGGAGGACAGACUCGUAAUAGCUGGCGUGGAAUAGUAUCCAAUACAUCAAACAUGUGGUUUCCAUGCUUUUGCCAUUACAUUUGUUCCGUUCCAGCCAUUAUUAUGAUCCGUCCUCCCCUCAACAGCCUCCAUUGAUGUAUGUAUAUAUUUGCAAUUAUGUGGAAAAAUCACUCACCCAUGAUCCUGCUUGUUCCUCAUUAUUCCUGUGUGGGUGAAGUAUAACCCUGGGUGGGUGAUUUUUUU
Molecule: long non-coding RNA, 2492 nt
Organism: Oncorhynchus tshawytscha (Chinook salmon)
Lineage: Eukaryota; Metazoa; Chordata; Actinopteri; Salmoniformes; Salmonidae
Source: Ensembl